GCCUGGCUGGUUCAGUCAAUAGAACCUGAGACUCCUGAUCUCAGGGUUGUAAGUUCAAGCCCCAUGUUAGGCA
This is a non-coding RNA of Felis catus (domestic cat), 73 nucleotides long. Lineage: Eukaryota; Metazoa; Chordata; Mammalia; Carnivora; Felidae. The record is from Rfam.